Molecule: ribosomal RNA, 253 nt
Filed under: uncultured bacterium
Lineage: Bacteria
Description: partial 16S ribosomal RNA
Rfam family: Bacterial small subunit ribosomal RNA
Source: RNAcentral
UACGAAGGGGGCUAGCGUUGCUCGGAAUCACUGGGCGUAAAGCGCACGUAGGCGGAUUGUUAAGUCAGGGGUGAAAUCCUGGAGCUCAACUCCAGAACUGCCUUUGAUACUGGCGAUCUCGAGUCCGGGAGAGGUGAGUGGAAUUCCCAGUGUAGCGGUGAAAUGCGUAGAUAUUGGGAGGAACACCAGUGGCGAAGGCGGCUCACUGGACCGGUACUGACGCUGAUGCGCGAAAGCGUGGGGAGCAAACGGG